This is a microRNA precursor of Gorilla gorilla gorilla (western lowland gorilla), 96 nucleotides long. The record is from Ensembl. Lineage: Eukaryota; Metazoa; Chordata; Mammalia; Primates; Hominidae.
AACUAUUCUUAGGUUGAUGCAGAAGUAACUACAGUUUUUGCAGUUGAAAGUAAUGGCAAAGACCGCGACUACUUUUGCAACAGCCUAAUAGUUUCU